AAAUAACUGCUACUAAUGGGCAAAUAUACAUAAAAUACUAGAAUAGUACCACAGAGUAGUUAACAGUCAAUAUUUCUGAUGAUCGUGAUGUUGGAGAACAUCCAGGAUAAAGUUUGAGGUAGCUCUUAAUAAAGAGUAAGAAAUAAGUAAGAGUAAUAAAAAUAAAUAGUAAGAAUCUCAUUCCUAAAAGUACUGGUAAAUCUGAGAGAAUAGAAAGUCACCCUUCCUGUUGUCUGUGGGUUUCAUUUCUAAACCUCUAUCAG
RNAcentral lists this long non-coding RNA (263 nucleotides) under Bos taurus (domestic cattle). RNAcentral's name for it is "long non-coding RNA NONBTAT018984". The record is from RNAcentral. Lineage: Eukaryota; Metazoa; Chordata; Mammalia; Artiodactyla; Bovidae.